This 711-nucleotide ribosomal RNA is filed under the name uncultured beta proteobacterium. RNAcentral describes it as "bacterial SSU rRNA". It matches the Rfam family "Bacterial small subunit ribosomal RNA", at positions 1 to 701 of the family's 1533-position model. Lineage: Bacteria; Pseudomonadati; Pseudomonadota; Betaproteobacteria. The record is from RNAcentral.
GAAUUCACUAGUGAUUGAGUUUGAUCAUGGCUCAGAUUGAACGCUGGCGGCAUGCCUUACACAUGCAAGUCGAACGGUAACAGCACUUCGGUGGCUGACGAGUGGCGAACGGGUGAGUAAUACAUCGGAACGUGCCCGAGAGUGGGGGAUAACGCAGCGAAAGCUGUGCUAAUACCGCAUACGAUCUACGGAUGAAAGCAGGGGACCGCAAGGCCUUGCGCUCAUGGAGCGGCCGAUGGCAGAUUAGGUAGUUGGUGGGAUAAAAGCUUACCAAGCCGACGAUCUGUAGCUGGUCUGAGAGGACGACCAGCCACACUGGGACUGAGACACGGCCCAGACUCCUACGGGAGGCAGCAGUGGGGAAUUUUGGACAAUGGGCGAAAGCCUGAUCCAGCCAUGCCGCGUGYAGGAUGAAGGCCUUCGGGUUGUAAACUGCUUUUGUACGGAACGAAAAGGUCUUUUCUAAUAAAGAAGGCUCAUGACGGUACCGUAAGAAUAAGCACCGGCUAACUACGUGCCAGCAGCCGCGGUAAUACGUAGGGUGCAAGCGUUAAUCGGAAUUACUGGGCGUAAAGCGUGCGCAGGCGGUUAUAUAAGACAGAUGUGAAAUCCCCGGGCUCAACCUGGGAACUGCAUUAGUGACUGUAUAGCUAGAGUGCGGCAGAGGGGGAUGGAAUUCCGCGUGUAGCAGUGAAAUGCGUAGAUAUGCGG